Molecule: ribosomal RNA, 161 nt
Filed under: Prasophyllum drummondii
Lineage: Eukaryota; Viridiplantae; Streptophyta; Magnoliopsida; Asparagales; Orchidaceae
Description: 5.8S ribosomal RNA
Rfam family: 5.8S ribosomal RNA
About the family: 5.8S ribosomal RNA (5.8S rRNA) is a component of the large subunit of the eukaryotic ribosome. It is transcribed by RNA polymerase I as part of the 45S precursor that also contains 18S and 28S rRNA. Functionally, it is thought that 5.8S rRNA may be involved in ribosome translocation.
Source: RNAcentral
UAUGACUCUCGGCAAUGGAUAUCUUGGCUCUUGCAUCGAUGAAGAGCGCAACAAAAUAUGAUACCUGGUGCGAAUUACUGAAUCCCAUGAACCAUCGAGUUUUUGAACGCAAGUUGCGCCUGAGGCCAAUUGGCCGAGGGCACGUUCACUGGGCAUCAUGU